Molecule: non-coding RNA, 311 nt
Filed under: marine eukaryotic metagenome
Source: RNAcentral
UUAGUUUCAACGCGGCGCCAUUGUUCAUCGGCAGUAUGGUCUGAACUGAACCUUUGCCGAAUGUCUUUUCACCCAUGAUCACGGCUCGCUUGCGGUCCUGCAACGCCCCCGCAACGAUUUCGGAAGCAGACGCCGACCCACUGUUCACCAGCACCACGAUAGGCGCCCCAACGAGAAUGUCCUUUGGUGUGGCGCUGUAGGUAACCUCGGAGUCUUUCGUUCGCCCGCGCGUCGUCACGAUGACCCCUUGGCGAAGAAACAGGUCACUGACUGCAACCGCACCGUCCAGCACACCGCCGGGAUUGUUGCGC